Molecule: ribosomal RNA, 840 nt
Filed under: Dyella sp.
Lineage: Bacteria; Pseudomonadati; Pseudomonadota; Gammaproteobacteria; Lysobacterales; Rhodanobacteraceae
Description: bacterial SSU rRNA
Rfam family: Bacterial small subunit ribosomal RNA
Source: RNAcentral
AUACUGUGGGUGGCGAGUGGCGGACGGGUGAGUAAUGCAUCGGGACCUGCCCAGACGUGGGGGAUAACGUAGGGAAACUUACGCUAAUACCGCAUACGUCCUACGGGAGAAAGCGGGGGAUCGAAAGACCUCGCGCGGUUGGAUGGACCGAUGUUCGAUUAGCUAGUUGGUGAGGUAAUGGCUCACCAAGGCGACGAUCGAUAGCUGGUCUGAGAGGAUGAUCAGCCACACUGGGACUGAGACACGGCCCAGACUCCUACGGGAGGCAGCAGUGGGGAAUAUUGGACAAUGGGCGAAAGCCUGAUCCAGCAAUGCCGCGUGUGUGAAGAAGGCCUUCGGGUUGUAAAGCACUUUUAUCAGGAGCGAAAUACUGCCGGCUAAUACCCGGCGGGGCUGACGGUACCUGAGGAAUAAGCACCGGCUAACUUCGUGCCAGCAGCCGCGGUAAUACGAAGGGUGCAAGCGUUAAUCGGAAUUACUGGGCGUAAAGCGUGCGUAGGCGGUUCUUUAAGUCUGCUGUGAAAUCCCCGGGCUCAACCUGGGAAUGGCAGUGGAUACUGGAGAGCUAGAGUGUGAUAGAGGAUGGUGGAAUUCCCGGUGUAGCGGUGAAAUGCGUAGAGAUCGGGAGGAACAUCAGUGGCGAAGGCGGCCAUCUGGAUCAACACUGACGCUGAGGCACGAAAGCGUGGGGAGCAACAGGAUAGAUACCCUGGUAGUCCACGCCCUAACGAUGCGACUGGAUGUUGGUCUCACUCGGAGAUCAGUGUCGAGCUACGCGUAGGUCGCCGCCUGGGGAGUACGUCGCAGACUGAACUCAAGAUGACGGGGUCGCACAAGCGG